UUAUUUGAGAGUUUGAUCCUGGCUCAGGAUGAACGCUGGCGGCGUGCCUAACACAUGCAAGUUGAGCGAUUUACUUCGGUAAAGAGCGGCGGACGGGUGAGUAACGCGUGGGUAACCUACCCUGUACACACGGAUAACAUACCGAAAGGUAUGCUAAUACGGGAUAAUAUAUUUGAGAGGCAUCUCUUGAAUAUCAAAGGUGAGCCAGUACAGGAUGGACCCGCGUCUGAUUAGCUAGUUGGUAAGGUAACGGCUUACCAAGGCGAC
Molecule: ribosomal RNA, 267 nt
Filed under: Clostridioides difficile
Lineage: Bacteria; Bacillati; Bacillota; Clostridia; Peptostreptococcales; Peptostreptococcaceae
Description: partial 16S ribosomal RNA
Rfam family: Bacterial small subunit ribosomal RNA
Source: RNAcentral